GACGAACGCUGGCGGCGUGCUUAACACAUGCAAGUCGUACGGUAAGGCCCUUUCGGGGGUACACGAGUGGCGCACGGGUGAGUAACACGUGAGUAACCUGCCCACAACUUUGGGAUAACGCUAGGAAACUGGUGCUAAUACUGGAUAUGUGCUCCUGCUGCAUGGUGGGGGUUGGAAAGCUCCGGCGGUUGUGGAUGGACUCGCGGCCUAUCAGCUUGUUGGUGGGGUAGUGGCCUACCAAGGCGGCGACGGGUAGCCGGCCUGAGAGGGUGACCGGCCACAUUGGGACUGAGAUACGGCCCAGACUCCUACGGGAGGCAGCAGUGGGGAAUAUUGCACAAUGGGCGCAAGCCUGAUGCAGCAACGCCGCGUGCGGGAGGACGGCCUUCGGGUUGUAAACCGCUUUCAGCAGGGACGAAGCUUUUUGUGACGGUACCUGCAGAAGAAGCACCGGCUAACUACGUG
RNAcentral lists this ribosomal RNA (465 nucleotides) under uncultured bacterium. Its description in RNAcentral is "partial 16S ribosomal RNA". It matches the Rfam family "Bacterial small subunit ribosomal RNA", at positions 28 to 507 of the family's 1533-position model. The record is from RNAcentral.